Triticum aestivum (bread wheat) is the source of this 3674-nucleotide long non-coding RNA. RefSeq lists it as uncharacterized. The record is from RefSeq and is a predicted model, not a curated record. The transcript has 6 exons. Lineage: Eukaryota; Viridiplantae; Streptophyta; Magnoliopsida; Poales; Poaceae.
AAGAGGAAAAGCAGUCAGACCUAGCCCGCGCCCCCGUAGCCGCCUCCUCUCCUGCCGCCGCCGCCUCGGCCUUGUUCGCCUCCUCUCCUGCCGCCGCCACCGCCUUGGCCUCGGCGCCCAUGCUCUCCCGGCGCCCGUCGGCCUCGAUCCGGCCUCAGUAGGAGGAGCUCGGCCUCGAGACUCGGCAGGAGGAGCUCGCCCUCGAGUAGGACUCAACAGGAGGAGGGGAGCAGCAGCUGCGCCCCAUGCUCUCUCGCCACCCUCGAGGUGAAGGUAACGGAUGAAAUCCCAUGGACGAGCUCGAGCUGGAAGGACGCGGACGGCAGCGGCUUGGACCAACAUCGUCCUGCCGGUGCCUUGCCGGUGAGCGCCACGCAUGGUGCAGCAGGCGGCAGGCACGACUUUGGGAGCUGCGCAUCGAGCGACGACUACUGCAUCUGCCGCCAGCACCAAGCCAAGAUGUAGAGCGGUGGUCGACGGCGGCAACCUGCUCCCAAGUUGCAAGUGAUGUUGCCAGAUAGCAGUAUACCAAGGGUUCUAAGAAUUUGAUUCAUAAAUGUAGCCAAGAUGCAGCGCGGUGGUCGACGGCGGCGGCCUGCUCCCAAGUUGCAGGUUGCUAAUGCUGUUCAAACAGGUGCGUGCAUGGACAUCUUCAUGAUUACUGAUUAUAAGAUCUUCAUGAUUACUGAUUAUAAGUGAACACACGUAUCUUCUCUCGAGGUUCUGAGUGUUGAGAGUGGUUGCUCAUUGUUUCUGUAUUCAAAUACUGAUGAAUCAACACUUCCAAAAGAUAUACUGAUGGCCAAAGAAGAUUGGGGAAGUUCCACUAUGUUCCUACAGACUGUUGGCCAAAAAAGAUUGGGGGAAAAUAGCUCUGGAGAAGGAUUGAGAUGAAAAUGGGAUUGGGAUCUCACUUCGCAAUGCAUUGAAGAAUCAUGGUAGAACUUUUUAUAUUGCUGACUGAGAUGGCGAUUAGGAUUUAUUGCUUUUUACUAAUUUUUUAUUUUUUCUACUUUGCUCAGAUAAUUUAUACAGCCUGUUCUUUCUUUAGUACCAAUGAAUAACUUGGUUACACAAUAUACUUGAAGAUUGCAUUAGGAACAAAAUGCUUAGCAGACCAAACUAAUUAGGUAAGCUGAGAGCUGAUUGGUCUAACCCUAGAAUAAUUGGUUGCCAGUCAUAGAAUCAUCUUGUACUGUUGUACAUAACUAAUUUUGACUUGAACUUUGGUGUGGUCGUGUAUCUUUGAAGUUUUCUGGAGACAGACUACUCUUGCAUCAUUAUGUGCAACCCACAUGUAUCUCACUCGGCGAGACAUGCACACCUAUGCCACAUCUUUACAUGUUUCACAAAAACAUAAACAUGAUUGGAUGGGCGUCCUUGCCGGCGACCUCGCUAUCUCCAACCCAUCCACAGAAAAUACCAAAGGAAGUAGCUUGUCGUUUGAAUAUCCCAAGCACGGACUGGUGGGACUACAGUUUGGCAAACAACGCUUCACUAUCUAGGACCGAGUAUGACGAACAAUCACAUGAUGUCUGCAUCUUGAUUAACAUGGAUACAAUAAAUUUCUCCUAAAAACAGGACUUGAGGUUGGUAUGGAUGUCCUGCUUACAUUCAAGAUGAACGUUGGCAAUGAUCUGUACAUGAUAGUUUGCUUCGAUGACAUCUGAGAGGUUUAUAGGUCCUAAUUGAGGUUGUCUUCAGUUCAUUAGUUUUUAUCUCUGCUAUGUUAGCUCUUUUGUGAGGGUCCAGUUUGCUGACCACCUUAGAAGAAACACGCACUUAGAUCAAAAGAUUUUCUUAUGUUAGGAGGUUUCCAUCCAAUCUUCUGAAGAUAGUUUGUUAAUAUAUGUGAUCAUGUACCAUGUGUUCCAUUGCAUAUGACAACUUUGUAUUGGACAUAUGUGGCCAAAGAUCUAUACUGAAACAUCUUGAGAAAUCAUCAGGGAGAAUACUAUGAAUGAGAAUGGACUAAGAAAUUGUGAUACACCUUCCUUUAGGUGCAUUUUCAUUCAGAUGGUGAUCCAGGUUUCUUGGAGCAGUACAUGCUAAUCACCAAUUUGUUUUCUGAUCUUUUUAGUACAAGGCUUUACCAAACUAUCAAUUGAAGUGCAGGUCAACCAAGACUUCAUAUACAUAGGCUGAAAGAUGAAAACUAAAGACCAUGGAGAAGAUCACACCAUAUUUAUCCUAGGAAAAACAACUGCAUGGUCACUUGACUUUACAGACAACACGCUGCACUAUUAAUUUUGGUUUAAUUGAUCGACAAUGCGUCUUUGUUAUUAGUUAUAUACUAAGGAACAUGCCUAUGAGUAUAUACUUAGGCUAUGUGUGAGACCAGAUUGUUAACAUAAUACUCUUAGUGAACCCCUAAUUUAUGUUGUCCCUAUGCUUUGGGAGGUUGCAGCUGACAUCCUCGACAAAAAUACCUCCUUAACAAUCGUUCCCGCUUUUCUUUACUUGAAAUUGUUUCUCUGCUCUAGGUGCAAGGAUCUGGGAUAGGUGUAUUUAGUUCUGCAAUGGCGAUGACACAUGUAAAUUAAACCAUUUGUUGUUUGUAUGUUGGAUCUUCCUAAAAACCAGAUGAUGUAUUUUUCACAGGAAAUAAACUUUGUAUUGUCAAACUUAGUUGAAUAACUCCCAGAUUUUAUCUACUUCACUGUUUUUGUGACACUCAUAGGCUGUUUGAUAAUAGGCCUAAAAACCUAGAUGUCUGAUAAUAGGCCUAAAAACCAAGAUGUUUGAUAAUAGGCCUAAAAACCAAGAUAAACUGAUGUUUUCACACCUUUGCUUUGCAUCUGUUUUGACCAGAAGAAAUUGCUUACAGAGUACCUUUCUUACAAAACCUUUCCUCUGCAAUUGUAUUAAGUUACUUUUGAUACCAAACUUUUGUUCUAACCUCAUUAGCAAACCUGAUGACCUGAUCCAAUUACUUACCUGUGUAAAGUGCAAACUUGUGUGCUCACUACCUAUUCUUCUCUUACUGGAGAUGCAUUCACCUGCGUUCCAUUCAAGAAACAGAUAGAUGUUACUAAUUCUAUCCAUGGUGAUUGCAGGCAUAGUUAACUUAUCCUUUGUGUAGUAUGAUUAUUAUACACACUCUUUUCAUUUCUGUUUUCCCCUCCUAAGCCAUUUAUUCUGUCUACCGCAGGUUGCUUGGUGUCCUCUCAUCGUGUCUAUUGGUGCAGUAUCACAUAUCCUCUCUCGAAGAGAUGAGAUAAGGAUUACAGGGCUACCAACAACCCACCUCACCUAUAAUGGAAGACAUCCUGAUUCAUUGUUGCAAGCUAGAGAACAAUAACUAUCAUGUUGGUGAUUUCCUUGAUAUAUGGUUCUACACGUGUGUCAUAUGGACCAAUGAAAGCAAAGAUAUUGCGGAGAUAAUAACUAUAUGGGCUACUCCAAAUGGAGUGGCAGUGGAACCAACACCUUUUAUAGGCCUUCAAGUACCUGUGUGGAAGUCUACCAUGCAAGCAUUAUCCGACGACUAACACUUUGCUUAUGUGUACAUAUCCUCUGAAGACCACAACCGGACUAAGAAGAUGUCUAAAUAAGCUGUGAGGCUGCCUAUAUAUAAGUCUAUUUCUGUAAAUUGAUAUCAGUUAUUCUACUAUCUGUAAACCAAUUUAAGUCAUUCUAUUGUCUGCAAUACAAUCCACAUUGCAUUAUCUUUC